AGUGAACGCUGGCGGUAGGCCUAACACAUGCAAGUCGAACGGCAGCACAGUAAGAGCUUGCUCUUACGGGUGGCGAGUGGCGGACGGGUGAGGAAUACAUCGGAAUCUACUUUUUCGUGGGGGAUAACGUAGGGAAACUUACGCUAAUACCGCAUACGACCUACGGGUGAAAGCAGGGGAUCUUCGGACCUUGCGCGAUUGAAUGAGCCGAUGUCGGAUUAGCUAGUUGGCGGGGUAAAGGCCCACCAAGGCGACGAUCCGUAGCUGGUCUGAGAGGAUGAUUCGCCAAAAUGGGACUGAGACACGGGCCAAACUCCUACGGGAGGCAGCAGGGGGGAAAAUUGGGCAAUGGGGGGAAAGCCGACCCAGCAAAGCCGCGUGGGGGAAAAAGGGCCUCGGGUUUGAAAACCCUUUUGUUGGGGAAAAAAAAGAGGGGGGUUAACCCCCCGGUUUUUGACGGGAACCAAAAAAAAAGCCACGGCUAAACUCGGU
RNAcentral lists this ribosomal RNA (492 nucleotides) under uncultured bacterium. RNAcentral's name for it is "partial 16S ribosomal RNA". It matches the Rfam family "Bacterial small subunit ribosomal RNA", at positions 29 to 507 of the family's 1533-position model. The record is from RNAcentral.